AAAAUGAAAAAGCAGUGCACUUGUGGUCUUCUGGAUUGCUUGCUGUUCAAAAUAGAAACUGAGAACUGUUUCAGCUUGCUAGCAAGCUAUUAAGCUAGCAGCUAACAUUCAGCUAACAUUCUGAAAGAAACUUGCUGUAUGGGAUUGAUGCCACACCAUGAUGUACACGAUGAAACAUCUAUACUGUAUUUAGCACAAGUAAAGAAUAGAGUGAGUAUAUUGAGACAGGCUGCACUACAUAUGCUUCAAUAUAUUUUUAUAGAACAUUAUAUUCAGUGGUGGCUAGUGGUGAAAUUGAUUGGGUGGGUUAACAAAUAAAUUAUAAAGUAAAAGUAACUCUC
Long non-coding RNA from Centropristis striata (black sea bass), 341 nucleotides. RefSeq lists it as uncharacterized. The record is from RefSeq and is a predicted model, not a curated record. Lineage: Eukaryota; Metazoa; Chordata; Actinopteri; Perciformes; Serranidae. The transcript is spliced from 3 exons.